UAGGAUACAAAACGAAGGCGAUCUUUGGAACAGUAUGACGUGAGAUGCGAAAGCGUGGGGAGCAACAGGAUUAGAUACCUGGUAGUCACGCAGUAAACGAUGAAUGUUAGUCGUUGGGGGCCUAGUGUCUUCAGUGAUGCUGUUAACACAUUAACAUUCCGCCUGGGGAGUACGGUCGCAAGAUUAAAACUCAAAGGAAUAGACGGGGACCCGCACAAGUGGUGGAGCAUGUGGUUUAAUUCGAAGAUACGCGAAGAACCUUACCUAGCCUUGACAUAUAAUGGAAUUCACCAGAGAUGGAGAAGUGCCUUCGGGAGCCAUAAUACAGGUGCUGCACGGCUGUCGUCAGCUCGUGUCGUGAGAUGUUGGGUUAAGUCCCGCAACGAGCGCAACCCUCGUUCUUAGUUACUAACGGUUAGGCCGAGGACUCUAAGAAGACUGCCUUCGUAAGGAGGAGGAGGGUGAGGACGGCGUCAAGUCAUCAUGGCCCUUACGGCUAGGGCAACACACGUGCUACAAUGGUUAGGACAAUGAGAAGCAAUAUCGCGAGGUGGAGCAAAUCUAUAAACCUAAUCUCAGUUCGGAUUGUAGUCUGCAACUCGACUACAUGAAGCUGGAACCACUAGUAAUCGUAGAUCAGCUAUGCCACGGUGAAUACGUUCCCGGGUCUUGUACUCACCGCCCGUCACACCAUGGGAGUUGAUUUCACCCGAAGCGGGGAAGCUAAACUGGCUACCCUCCACGGUGGAAUUAGCGACUGGGGUGAAGUCGUAACAAGGUACC
RNAcentral lists this ribosomal RNA (783 nucleotides) under uncultured bacterium. RNAcentral describes it as "bacterial SSU rRNA". It matches the Rfam family "Bacterial small subunit ribosomal RNA", at positions 702 to 1500 of the family's 1533-position model. The record is from RNAcentral.